RNAcentral lists this ribosomal RNA (897 nucleotides) under Triticum aestivum (bread wheat). Its description in RNAcentral is "partial small subunit ribosomal RNA". Lineage: Eukaryota; Viridiplantae; Streptophyta; Magnoliopsida; Poales; Poaceae. The record is from RNAcentral.
AUGCAAGACAAUGAUGGGAAUACUGCACUGCAUUUAGCCAUCAAAGCUCCGAUGCUUCAAAUAUUUUGUUCUUUGUACGGGAAUAAGGAAGUACAUUUAACUUUGACAAACAACAAGGAGGAGACACCCAUUGAUCUAUCCAGGAAUUGUCUUCCUCGCGGAAUGUAUUAUCACUGGAACAAUGAAAAGCGGAUAUAUGCAACACUUGCAUUGUUUGGUACCAAUCAUAAUGGCCUUCGCUGGGAUCAGUUUGAAGAGAAGUAUAGUCGCCACUUAACACCAGAGGACAAGGUCAAAGAAGCAGAGAAGGUGAAAGAUUCAAGCCAAAUACUAGGGAUUGGUUCAGUUUUAAUAGCAACGGUGGCAUUCGGUGCAACAUUCGCUGUCCCGGGAGGUUUCAUAGCGGAUGAUCAUACAAAUCGAGGCACCCCAACACUUGCUGGGAGGUAUACAUUUGAUGCAUUCAUGAUGGCAAAUGCACUAGCCUUUAUUUGCUCCAUAAUAGCUACAGUUGGUCUCAUGUUCUCUGGAACUUCUAUGGUUAACAUGAAGAGCCGCCAAAUCAACUUAUAUGCAUCCGUGUUUUUCAUGUCAAGUUCGCUUACAAGCUUAUCUGUUGCUUUUGCAACGGGCGUGUAUAUGGUGCUAGCUCCGGUUGCUCAUGCUACUGCCAUGGCGAUUUGUGUGCUUAGUCCUCUCGCGGUGCUAUAUAGAAAUUCUGAAUUUUUACUAAAGGUCAUAAUUCUUGCACGAUCAUUAUACCUUAGAAUGGGGAUAAUUUGGGCAUUAAAGUGGUUAGCAAUGAUGAUGGUUAAGCGGAUUCUCUUGGAGUUAUGGCCCUUCGUAGUUAUCUUCGGCUGGGCCGCAAUUGCACAGAAGAUCCGAAACCACCUCUGA